GUUUCUUGUGUUUGUUAAAAAACAAAGGGGCAUAAAUGUAGAAAUAUGUAAACAUCUCAUUAUUAAGGCAAGUCAAAUACAAAAGUAGGUGAAAGGAUCUUAAAAGCGAAUUUUGACUCUAUUUAUUUUUAUCGUUUUUAACUAUUUCAAAAGUCAUUUUUUUUUUGAAUUUUGAUCUUCUAAAAUGUAUAAGAAAAUGAUUAAAA
RNAcentral lists this unclassified non-coding RNA (206 nucleotides) under Hevea brasiliensis (rubber tree). The record is from RNAcentral. Lineage: Eukaryota; Viridiplantae; Streptophyta; Magnoliopsida; Malpighiales; Euphorbiaceae.